This is a non-coding RNA of Cyanistes caeruleus (blue tit), 1694 nucleotides long. Lineage: Eukaryota; Metazoa; Chordata; Aves; Passeriformes; Paridae. The record is from RefSeq and is a predicted model, not a curated record.
GGCCNCGGGGCGGGCUCAGCCCCGAGCGGCCCCGCCACCGCCCCGCUUACUCCGCCUCAGCCCCGCUGCCUGCCCGGCCUUUGGGAUCCACCAUGGCCAUUGCUGGGGUGUGCAUUAGCGGCUGUGAGAACAAAACCAUCGCGUCUCUCACUCGUGGGUAAAAUAAGUUUUGUGAAGGCCUUACUGCCAGUGGAAAACCAUUUCAGGUCACUACAACGGACACCUCUGUGCAGGGAGGGUUGAGAAUAGAAGCGCGGUAAUUACCCGGAAUGACCAACACUACAAGAAAUUAAAAAGCAAGCAGAGAGGUUACUGCUUUAUCCAACCUCUAUUAAUUACAAGGACUUUGAGCAAUCAGGACUUUGAGCUCCCAAGUUGGUAAGUGACCUCGGCAGGCUGGCCCACAGGGAUGGUCUAAUCUACAGAUCAGAGGUGUCUAAACCAGAGAUCAGAGGCUUCUCAGAAGCUGAGCUACUGUUCAGUGAGGUUCCAUGAGCUCCUUCACAGCAAAGGCUUAUGAACCAGCUAUACUAAAAGAUCAUCAUUUAAGGCACAAAACUGUUGGGAAAAUUUGCCUUGUGUAAUGUGACAUGUUGGUUUUCUGUAAUUCUAGGCAAUGCUGAUGAAAACUGAUGAAAUUGCUCAUGUUUUUUGCUUAGGGAAUUGCUUGGCCUUCACUGCUGCUAGUGAAAACAAUACUAGCACAAAGAGUCGUGUGCAAAAGACAGCCAGGAAUAAGGCUGGGAAAAGAUUUCUAAGACAGAGUAGUAUCUAGAACUGAAACCUUGGUGAAAAACACCAUGAGAAAAACAACAGGUUUUUUAGAACUUGCCAGUAAAAAAUGUCACUAGCCAAGACUUAGUCUUGACAAGGCAGCACUGCAGAAAAAAAACAAAAAAGCAGUUAUUUGAUUAGUGAAAGAAGCAAUGCCUGAAUUCCAUUACUCAUUUUGUUUUACAGGAAGAAUUUUUUGGCAAGGAUUUUAGGGUACCAGGAUACUUGCAGAACUUAUUGACAGAGUGGACAUCAGCUAGGGCCAGGGAAGCUCAGACACCUCAACCCUGCACUACUCCUGACUCUGUGGUACUCCUGGCUCUGCACACCAACUACUUCUAACAGGAAAAUACGGGAGGAAGACACCAUUCUGUAAGAAUUUAAACUCCACAGUCCUUGGAGGAAUUAACAGCUGACUAUCUAAUCAGUCUUUCAGUUUCCCACUGCUGGCACCAGACUUGCCAAUCUGCAGUUAAAUGCCAGGGAAUUGCACAACAGCCCAGGAACACCUGAGUGAGAAAAGCUGUGAGGAAUUAGUUUGUUUUGCUUGUUUUAAGUGAUCCUGGGAAGACAUUAAAAGUAAAGUGCAAAUCCUGAUCAAAUCAGCAUGACCAGCAGGUGUUGUACAAAAAUCCCUUUGUUCAAAAAAAGACAAGAAAAAGGAUUAUUAACUUACAGUGAUCUCCAUCCCUAAGAACUAUUUGUUCCCAUUGAGGAAGCAGUGGCAGUGUCUACAUUGCUGUACAAAUGUGAAGUAGGAAACAGUCUGUGGGAAAUAAAACCAGCCUCUGGACAAACAAGUUUAUUUGCAGCUGGUUUUGGAAGGGCUGGGAGAAGACAGGUUGCUGCAUUACAAUUACAGACUGCUUUUCCUUUUAUCAAUUUCACAUAAUGAGUUGAAUCAAGCAGAGCAUACAUUA